GGAUCGGGCGGAACCGGUGGGCCGGUAUCCGAGAAUAGAUCCGAAUUGCUUUGUUUUGCGAUACGCCCUUGUUGCCCAGCUUGGACGUA
RNAcentral lists this non-coding RNA (89 nucleotides) under unclassified sequences. Its description in RNAcentral is "Rhodo-rpoB RNA". It matches the Rfam family "Rhodo-rpoB RNA". The record is from RNAcentral.